RNAcentral lists this non-coding RNA (107 nucleotides) under Planctomycetota bacterium. RNAcentral's name for it is "Planctomycetes bacterium TPP sequence". It matches the Rfam family "TPP riboswitch aptamer (THI element)". Rfam says of the family: Vitamin B(1) in its active form thiamin pyrophosphate (TPP) is an essential coenzyme that is synthesised by coupling of pyrimidine and thiazole moieties in bacteria. The previously detected thiamin-regulatory element, thi box was extended, resulting in a new, highly conserved RNA secondary structure, the THI element, which is widely distributed in eubacteria and also occurs in some archaea. Analysis of operon structures identified a large number of new candidate thiamin-regulated genes, mostly transporters, in various prokaryotic organisms. Lineage: Bacteria; Pseudomonadati; Planctomycetota. The record is from RNAcentral.
UAGAUUGGCCAGGGGAGCCGGGCGAGAGUUCGGCUGAGAUACCGGUUGGUGACCCUCUGAACCUGAUCGGGGUAAUACCCGCGAAGGGAGUGCUUUAACGGAAACAC